UACGUAGGUGGCAAGCGUUGUCCGGAAUUACUGGGCGUAAAGCGCGUGUAGGCGGCAGGCCAAGUCUGCGGUGAAAGCGCCCGGCUCAACUGGGCGAGGUCCGUGGAAACUGGUCAGCUGGAGGACGGUAGAGGCGAGUGGAAUUCCCGGUGUAGUGGUGAAAUGCGUAGAGAUCGGGAGGAACACCUGUGGCGAAGGCGGCCCCCUGGGCCGGCCCUGACACUGAGACGCGAAGGCGUGGGGAGCGAACGGG
RNAcentral lists this ribosomal RNA (253 nucleotides) under uncultured bacterium. Its description in RNAcentral is "partial 16S ribosomal RNA". It matches the Rfam family "Bacterial small subunit ribosomal RNA", at positions 524 to 776 of the family's 1533-position model. The record is from RNAcentral.